GCGACCUACGGGGCGCAGCAGUGAGGAAUAUUGGUCAAUGGGCGAGAGCCUGAACCAGCCAAGUCGCGUGAGGGAUGACUGCCCUAUGGGUUGUAAACCUCUUUUGUAUGGGGGGAAUAAGCUUUACGAGUAGAGUGAUGACAGUACCAUACGAAUAAGCAUCGGCUAACUCCGUGCCAGCAGCCGCGGUAAUACGGAGGAUGCGAGCGUUAUCCGGAUUUAUUGGGUUUAAAGGGUGCGCAGGCGGCGUGUCAAGCAAGCGGUAAAAUAGCGGGGCUCAACCCCGUCGAGCCGUUUGAACUGGC
RNAcentral lists this ribosomal RNA (305 nucleotides) under uncultured bacterium. Its description in RNAcentral is "bacterial SSU rRNA". It matches the Rfam family "Bacterial small subunit ribosomal RNA", at positions 334 to 637 of the family's 1533-position model. The record is from RNAcentral.